RNAcentral lists this ribosomal RNA (466 nucleotides) under uncultured bacterium. Its description in RNAcentral is "bacterial SSU rRNA". It matches the Rfam family "Bacterial small subunit ribosomal RNA", at positions 28 to 498 of the family's 1533-position model. The record is from RNAcentral.
GACGAACGCUGGCGGCGUGCUUAACACAUGCAAGUGGAGCGACGAACCAGGCUUCGGCCUGGGGCAAAGCCGCGAACGGGUGAGUAACACGUGGGUAACGUGCCCCAAUGACCGGGACAACCCGAGGAAACUCGGGCUAAUACCGGAUGUGCUGCAGAGUCGUAAGUCUCUGCAACAAAGGAAGCUUCGGCCUCCGCAUUGGGAGCGGCCCGCGACCCAUUAGCUUGUUGGUGAGGUAACGGCUCACCAAGGCUGCGAUGGGUAGCUGGUCUGAGAGGACGAUCAGCCACACUGGGACUGAGACACGGCCCAGACUCCUACGGGAGGCAGCAGUGGGGAAUCUUGCGCAAUGGGCGAAAGCCUGACGCAGCGACGCCGCGUGAGGGAUGACGGCCUUCGGGUUGUAAACCGUCUUUCUAGCUCCGACGAAGCGAAAGUGACGGUAGGAGCAGAAGAAGCACCGGCC